RNAcentral lists this long non-coding RNA (272 nucleotides) under Sorghum bicolor (sorghum). RNAcentral describes it as "long non-coding RNA (SBIC_LNC008239)". The record is from RNAcentral. Lineage: Eukaryota; Viridiplantae; Streptophyta; Magnoliopsida; Poales; Poaceae.
GAGGACGAGAUUCAUUUUAAGGGGGUAGAAUUGUAACACCCUAAAAUUUACUCCUUUUGAAAUAUAGAUAAAAUUAUUUAAUUUUAUAUUUUUGUGCUCAUGAAAAUAUAGGAAAAAUAAUAUUUUUUUUAAUUAAAAUUUAUCAUAAGGCUUAGCAAUAUUAUUAUGCGUACAUGCUAGUGCAUAUGUUUUGGUGUGAUGCAUGUUGCUCCUUUAUGUGUUGAGUGAGCAAAGUUUUUAAAAUGCGUUUAGUAGAUCGAUCUUCCUUGUUG